RNAcentral lists this ribosomal RNA (484 nucleotides) under uncultured bacterium. Its description in RNAcentral is "partial 16S ribosomal RNA". It matches the Rfam family "Bacterial small subunit ribosomal RNA", at positions 30 to 507 of the family's 1533-position model. The record is from RNAcentral.
AUUGAACGCUGGCGGCAGGCCUAACACAUGCAAGUCGAGCGGAUGAAGGGAGCUUGCUCCUGGAUUCAGCGGCGGACGGGUGAGUAAUGCCUAGGAAUCUGCCUGGUAGUGGGGGAUAACGUCCGGAAACGGGCGCUAAUACCGCAUACGUCCUGAGGGAGAAAGUGGGGGAUCUUCGGACCUCACGCUAUCAGAUGAGCCUAGGUCGGAUUAGCUAGUUGGUGGGGUAAAGGCCUACCAAGGCGACGAUCCGUAACUGGUCUGAGAGGAUGAUCAGUCACACUGGAACUGAGACACGGUCCAGACUCCUACGGGAGGCAGCAGUGGGGAAUAUUGGACAAAGGGCGAAAGCCUGAUCCAGCCAUGCCGCGUGUGUGAAGAAGGUCUUCGGACUGUAAAGCACUUUAAGUUGGGAGGAAGGGCAGUAAGUUAAUACCUUGCUGUUUUGACGUUACCAACAGAAUAAGCACCGGCUAACUUCGUG